CGUCUCUGGUCACAGAGCCCAAUUGAACUCAGAACCCGGGUCACCAGGCACCCACGUUCUGGAGACAGCGCCCGACUGGGCUCAUUCGUUGGGACACCUUUGCCUGACGAACAUGUUCUCCUGUUGUGUGCCUGUGUCCCGCGGCUGCCGGCUCAGGGGAGCCCGUGGCCGCGACGCUUCCCGACCCUGGAGACAGUGGGUCAGGUCGUGCACAGGACGCCUCAGGUCUCUAGCUCGCAGGGACCCAAAGAAAUCAACCGAUGAAAUCGGGAAACGAUUGGCGGAAUCCCGAUUCACCCGCCCUACAGAGUUGUGCAUGUGCCCUGUCGCCCAGGAGGGCCACCCUGGUCCCAGAGAGAGAGUGGCCACACAGAGUUCUUGUGAAGCAGAGCCUGGAAAUGACCUGGGAAGGCCUCCUUCACCGCCCCGGCCCCCCCACAGGGUCCUGGUUCACGGGUCCUGGGAUCAGGACCCAGAGCCCCCGGAGCCAGAGCCCGAGGAGUCCGGGGCAGGAGCAGAAGCCGGUGAGACCCCAGAGCCUGACCCAAGGGCAUCCGGGUCCUCGGCGUCUCUGCGGGCAGGGGUGGAGUCUGGAGCGACUCCUGCAGGGGCCGGAGAGCCAGCAGGUGACCUGGGACCUGUGCUGGGACAGCGGGCACCUGAACAGAGUCAGCUGGUUCCUGCUUCUGCUCCCGACACCGUUCCGGCCACCGCCCUUGUUCCCCUAUGGAUUCCGGCCACAAAUCAAGGGCUCAAAGGCCUUCGAGGGAUGUUUAUUGUAUUUCUAAUUGUUGCUCCAGACCCAGUCCCCGACCCCUCCACCAGAAUGACUCUUCCUCUUCUCCCUUAUCCUUUCUCUCCUCUACUUUUUAGCUGGUACAUUAUUUGUUCAUGGUAUGUUUAAA
Acinonyx jubatus (cheetah) is the source of this 905-nucleotide long non-coding RNA. RefSeq lists it as uncharacterized. NCBI's taxonomy places the organism in Eukaryota, Metazoa, Chordata, Mammalia, Carnivora, Felidae. The record is from RefSeq and is a predicted model, not a curated record. The transcript is spliced from 3 exons.